This 5566-nucleotide long non-coding RNA is filed under the name Sus scrofa (pig). Its description in RNAcentral is "lncRNA (ENSSSCG00040073661.1)". The record is from RNAcentral. Lineage: Eukaryota; Metazoa; Chordata; Mammalia; Artiodactyla; Suidae.
AGACAGAUUCCCAGGAGGAGUGUAACACCUGCUGAUUUGACGCUUUUCCGUCUAGCCAUUCCAUGGCAUGGAACAAAAAUGACAAAUAUGGGUGAGUGUUCCCAGCUGAAGGAGGAUUGCCAGAUUUACAACAAACAAACAAAUGAAAAGCAGGACCUCGCAAUUACAUUUGAAUUUCAGGGCUGGACCCAAGGCAUAUGAGGCUCCUAGGGGUUGAAUCGGAGCUGUAGCCACCACAGCAACACUGGAACUGAGCCGUGUCUGACACCUACACCUCAACUCACGGCAAUGCUGUAUCCUUAACCCAAUGAAUGAGGCCAGGGAUUGAACCCACAUCCUCAUGGAUGCUAGUUGGGUUUGGUAACCACUGAGUCAGGAUGGGAACUCCUAUUUCUUUAAUUUUACACCUAUAUGUGAUGAUGGAUGUUCACCAAACAUUGUGACAAUCAUUCCAUGAUGUAUGUAAGUCGAAUCAUUACACUGUAUACAUUAAACUUAUAUCAAUUAUUUAUCAGUAAAACUGGAAGAGAAAACCAAACUUAAUUCAUAAACACUAAGCUGUUGAAUCUACAUCUCCUUUCAAAGUCUGCCAGUGAAAGAGAUGUUGAUGACAUUGGAAUGAUUGGGGCGAGCCAGUGAGAUACUGUGAUGGGAAUUACCAGUAAAAUUUUAUUCCUCAGCAUUUUCACUUACAAAUUAAUUCUGUCAUCUCUUUUUGUAAGUGCUAAAAAGCUACCUUUUCAGAAAUCAUCACUGAUAUUUUGCAUCGCUCGUAAUAGACACCAUUUUUCCUCUGAGACAGUAAGGAAGGAGGAAGAUGAAAAGAGGGCUUGUGAAAUAGAAAGUGUGCAAGGGCUCUUAUUCCAUAGGAUCUCUGUCGUCUCAGCAGAGCGAUGCUGGCCCCUGUGAGCUCCCCUCACAGACUUCAGGCACUUCACAUACUUUAUUUCAUUUAUGCUCACAACUACACUGUGGGAGGAUCAAAGUUGCCCACAGGGUUAGGUGAAGGGGAAGGAGGAACAACGCUGCAAUGAGAGUCGGGAACCAGGGACAUACCAAGAGCCCUCGACUAGAGACGAGCCAAUUUCCACUACACAGCCUGGGACAAAGAGAACAACUUUGUGGGGGAGCAGCCCAGGUUAAAGGCAUUAGUCAGCAAACUUUGUGGUUUUUUAAUAGGAAAAGGAACAUAGAUUUGAGUUUUUUUUUUUUUUUUUUUUUUUUAAGAGUGUUCCGCUAUUGGAGUUUGUCUUAGGUUUUUCUCACAGUAAGCCUUGGGUUAUGGCUUUUGGGGAGAAAGACCACCCACAAAGGUAAAGUGUUAUUUUUAUUAUUUAUUUAUUUUUUCUUCUUUUUUAUGGCUGCUGGGGUCGAAUUGGAGCUGAAGUUGCUGGCCACAGCCACAGCCACAGCAAUGCCAGAUCCGAGCGGCAUCUGCAACCUAUGCCACAGCUCGAGGCAACCUGGGAUCCUUAACUCACUGAGCAAGGGCAGGGAUCAAAUCUGAAUCCUCAUGGAUAUGAGUCAGGUUCUUAACCUGCUGAGCCAAAAUCGGAGCUCCCUAAAGGGUUGUUUUUAUUACAUCGCAUUGAGAGGCCAUGCUAUCAGCAAAUGGUUGAUGAAUACUGAUGAAUACCUUGAUCGCCUGGCUGAGGUAGCACUUGUCAAGUUUCUCAGUUCUUUUUUUCUCAAAAAAAGACACUCUCCCCACUACCCCCUUCCUUAUAGGACUGUAAGGAAAGCAGUCGCUAUACAGCAGUCCUAUGUGGAAAGCAGUCACUAUGCACAGCCUGUACCUAAAGGAAGGAGGAAAGGAGUCUUUGCAAGGUUGGGGAUUAGCAAUUAAGCACAAGGGAAAUCAAGGGAGGGAGGUAAGGGGUAACAGAUAGAAUAGUGGGUGCAUGUCUAAAAUGACCAACCACUGGUUGGAGAAGGGGAGCCAGAAGAAACAGGCUGAUAGAGCUGAGGGCAGAGAGCUAAUUUAGCAGGAAUGGAUAACUGGCAGUCUGUUGGAGUUGGGCCACUUAGAAAUGGUGCUGAGGAGACAAAUGAGGGGCCCUGUUGCUCCUGUUCUUCUCCAGCAGAAACCUCUGUUUACACUGCAUGAUGAGCGAUGGUCCCAAAGAAUGUUUAUACUUUACUACAAGUAUCUGGCACUGACAUUGUUGUAUCCUGCCCCAUAAAAGCCUUUCAGGACAUGAAAACGCUUUUCAUUUCCUUAUGAAGCAACAAAACUGCAGAUCACAGCUCUGCAUUCUGGAAUCGCCUGAAAAAAUGUACCGCAUUUAUCUUUCUUCUUUCUGUGUGAACACAUUUGGAAAUUGCUUGACUGAACAAUGAAAUUAGGCUUAUUGGUUUCAUUGUUUAUGGCUGAUUUUACAGCCCAGCUCAUCAUUAAUAUGGUUUCCAUGUGAAUUAGUAGACCAAAAACCUUCCCAUGAGCCUUCUCUUCAUAAAUUCACCUUAGGACCGGACAUGUUAGAUAUCAUAUAAUGUCACUUGAAAAAACUAAAGGAAGACUUCAAAUAAAUUAUAUCCUCCAUUCAGCUACGCAGCUAAAUUUUCUUAAAUUAAUACAUAUUACCAGAUCCAUGUUACCUCAUUUGUUUGGAAACAUGUGUGUAAGCAAAGAAAUAAGUGGCAAAAGAUUCACUUUUAUCUGUCUAGUCAUACCUGAACAGGGACUCUCUUGACAGCCAAAUUUCAUUCCGUUCCAAAAGAAAAGCCACAGCAGCAGUACAGCGGACACACUCAGGGUGGUGGCCCCACAAUGACUCAGUCACAUGCAGAGCUUGCUCAGUCCGUGCUUGAAAAGGAUGCAGUGGCUCAUGCUGGAAAACUGGGUAGAUUCAGGGUGACUUCAGGGCUGUGAUGAAUGCCCCUGAGCAUUUCAUCCCAAGCAAUUAAGUUGCAUAGAAGCUCAUUCUUCCCUUAAGAAACACUCACAGGUUAGACUCUAAGGGCUACACCGGCACUGUUGCUAGUUUUUUUUUUUUAAAUAAAUAAAUUUAUUUAUUUAUUUAUUUAUUUAUUGUCUUUUUGCCUUUUCUUGAGCUGCUCCCAUGGCAUAUGGAGGUUCCCAGGCCGGGUUGAAUUGGAGCUGUAGCCACCGGCCUACUCCAGAGCCACAGCAACGCGGGAUCCAAGCCGAGUCUGCAACCUACACCACAGCUCACGGCAAUGCCGGAUCUUUAACCCACUGGGCAAGGCCAGGGAUCGAACCCACAACCUCAUGGUUCCUAGUCGGAUUCGUUAACCACUGCGCCACAACAGGAACUCCUGUUGCUAGUUCUUUAGCAUUACAGAGAGCUUAAGAGCUUUGCCUCCCACAGUUUUUCUGCCCUGGAUUUCAGCAGCUCAGACACUGUGACUAGUCCCAACAGCACGUUCUCAGAUCCUGACUGUGCCCUCUGACCCUCGCUCCCACAUGUUACUGGUGCGGUACCGCACUACUGGCACUGUGUUUUCAAAUUUGGACUUUGUGCUGUAGCAGAUCCCAUCAUAGCUUUGUGGUGUAGUCAGUCUCUGGAGCUCUGUAGUUGGUGCUGGGAGAGAUGUGGGUUACUACUAGUCUCUCUCUCCAGGGAUGUGAGGACUGUGUCCCUGCUCAGGCCAGAGUCCUUAUGUUGAAGGAAAAUUCACCCACAGGCCAGCCUGGAGCUCAUCAUAGACAAGCUGUGUGGACAUGAGUCUCUUUCUGACUCUGGUCCAGCUUUCCCAGCAGACACGAGAUGUUCAUGUGUUAUCUGAAUGAAUGUCAAUAUCACAGCUCUAAAAACCUUUGGUGUGAGGGGUGGCAUGUGGUCCCUCAUAUCAUUUCUGUACAAACAGAGAUGCUUCCUGCCUGGACUCAGAAGAACAUGAGAGUGAUUUUUAUCCAUGUCCUUGUGUUCAGUUUAGCCACAGUCUGGGUCUGUGAAGAGAUGAGAAUUGUAGACCAGUUUAAGGAGUAAAGAAGUCCUAUAUAUUUUUUGUUGGUUUGUUUGUUGGUUAAUUGGCCCGCACCUGGUCUAUGGAAGUUCACAGGCUAGGAGUCGAAUUGGAGCUGUAGCUGCCGGCCUAUACCACAACCACUGCAACAUGGUAUCCUGAGCCGCAUCUGCGACCUACACCACAGCUCAUGGCAAUGCUGGAUUCCUGACCCACUGAGCGAGGCCAGGGAUCGAACCUGCAUCUUCAUGGAUACUAGUCAUAUUCAUUUCUGCUGAGCCACAACAGGAACUCCAAGAAGUCCUAUAUUGUAUAAAAAAGUAAGUCACUGUAUAUUUGGGAAAGUAAGUAUAUGUGUCUGCGUAAAUACGCACAUCUAUCUCUCUGAAUAUAGCCUAUUCGGUUAUUCAUUCAGUCAUUUGUUCUCUUUUUUUGUGUCUAUUGACAUGCUAAAUGCUAAGGACACAGUUAGGAAUAAAAUAAAGGCCCUGCUGUCAAAGAACUCCAGUCUACUGAGUGAGGUUUGUGUGGUUAGGGAGAGCACCUAAAUAUUACUUCUAAACUUGUAUGACUCCUUUUGCUUUUAUAUUUAAUUUUAAUUUUUUGGCUGUGCCUAUGGCAUUAACCCAUUGAGCCACCAGGGAUAUAUGGGAAGGUGUAUUUUAUUUUAUUUAUCUAUUCUGCUUUUUAGGGCCAUACCUGCAGCACAUGGAGGUUCCCAGGCUAGGGGUUGAAUCAGAGCUACAAAUGCAGACCUACCCCACAGCCACAGCAACUCGGGAUCUAAGCUUCAUCUGUGACCUAUACCACAGCUCACGGCAACACCAGAUCCUUAACCCAUUGAAUGAGGUCAGGGAUUGAACCCAUACCCUCAUGGAUCCUAGUUGGGUUUGUUAACUACUGAGCCAAGAAGGGAACUCCUGGAAAGGCAUAUUUUAAAAGGAGGCUUAUAAAAGUUCCCUAGUGGCCUAGCAGUUAAGGAUCCAGCAUUGUCAUGGCUGUGGUGUGGGUUUGAUCCUUGGCUCAGGAAUUUCUGUAUGCUGUGGGUGCAGCCAAAAAAGAAAAAAGAGAAAGAAAGCAUCUUUCCACUUUCCCCCUGUUCACCUAUCUAGAUAUCAGCUUUGGUACCAAGGUAGAAAGGAAAGAAAGAAGCAUUUAGCACUUCUGUCUUUGGGGAAUCAAGAAGUUAGGAAGUCGAGGCAAGUGAGUUCCCACUUCAGGCUUCAGGGUCCAGCAUCUUAAAGCUUCAGGGUUCACUGCAGGCCUAAAGGAGUCAUUGCCCUACUUACCAAUGGGCAGGAACAGCUUGACUGAAGAGUUCGAUGAUCCUCACUUCACCCUGUCCCACCCAUUAAUUGUCAAAAAUACCUUGCACUGGAGUUCCCGCUGUAGCACGAUGGGAUUGGCAGUGUCUCUGCAGCACCAGGAUGCAGGUUCAUCCCCAGCCCAGUGCAGUGGGUUAAAGGAUCUGGUGCUGCUGCAGUAGUAUUGUAAAUUGCAACUGCAGCUCAGAUCUAAUCCCCGGCCUGGGAACUCCAGAUGUUGUGGGGUGGCCAGGAAAGGAAAGGAAAGGAAAGGAAAGGAAAGGAAAGGAAAGAAAAAAAAAAAAAGAAAAGAAAAGAAAAGAAAAGAAAAA